RNAcentral lists this ribosomal RNA (314 nucleotides) under uncultured bacterium. Its description in RNAcentral is "bacterial SSU rRNA". It matches the Rfam family "Bacterial small subunit ribosomal RNA", at positions 28 to 334 of the family's 1533-position model. The record is from RNAcentral.
GAUGAACGCUAGCUACAGGCUUAACACAUGCAAGUCGAGGGGCAGCAUUAUCUUAGCUUGCUAAGAUAGAUGGCGACCGGCGCACGGGUGAGUAACACGUAUCCAACCUUCCGGUUACUCGGGGAUAGCCUUUCGAAAGAAAGAUUAAUACCCGAUAGCAUAAUGAUUCCGCAUGGUUUCAUUAUUAAAGGAUUCCGGUAAAGGAUGGGGAUGCGUUCCAUUAGGUUGUUGGUGAGGUAACGGCCCACCAAGCCUUCGAUGGAUAGGGGUUCUGAGAGGAAGGUCCCCCACAUUGGAACUGAGACACGGUCCAA